UACGGAGGGGGCUAGCGUUGUUCGGAAUUACUGGGCGUAAAGCGCACGUAGGCGGCUUUGCAAGUUAGAGGUGAAAGCCCGGGGCUCAACUCCGGAAUUGCCUUUAAAACUGCAUCGCUAGAAUUGUGGAGAGGUAAGUGGAAUUCCGAGUGUAGAGGUGAAAUUCGUAGAUAUUCGGAAGAACACCAGUGGCGAAGGCGGCUACCUGGCACAUAACUGACGCUGAUACGCGAAAGCGUGGGGAGCGAACCGG
This 253-nucleotide ribosomal RNA is filed under the name uncultured bacterium. RNAcentral describes it as "partial 16S ribosomal RNA". It matches the Rfam family "Bacterial small subunit ribosomal RNA", at positions 524 to 776 of the family's 1533-position model. The record is from RNAcentral.